AUCUUUUGACUAAGCUUGACCUAAGGUGAGCAACCCGUGCCGCCAAACCCAAGGAAAGAAGAAAGGCCAACGACGUGGAGCUGGAGGUGAAAGGGUGAAGCGCCGGCCCGGCCGCAGGUACCGUUGCGGCAGCGUGCGCGUGCCCGAGGGCGAGCACGGGGAGGCCUGCGAGGACGAGCGGAACGGCGAGAACAGCGAGUAGGAGGAGGAGUGCGACGUGGAGGGCGGCGCGGUGGUGGGCCGGGGAGGACGGGGGGAGUAGGAGGGGUGCGGGGAGGCCUGGUGGCGGCGGCGGCGGGUCGGAUUCGGGUUCCGGCUGGGGAGGAGGAGGAGCAGCGGGAGCGGCUGCUGCGAGAGCGUGCACCACAAGCCCCACCGGAGGAGGGCGGCGUGCGACGGCGACGCGGAGGGAGAGGAGGCGGAGACCGAGGUGGGCGGGCGCGCGCGGAAGGAGAAGGAGCUGCGCGGCGGGGCGCGACGGAGGCAGGGCCGCUUGGAGGUGGAGGCGCAGAGGGCGCUGCGGAGGGCGAAGGGGAUGAGGAUGGCCUUCCCGGAGGGGAGGCGCCAGGCGCAGCGCGCAUAGCGGUUCCUCGAGGAGGAGCUCGAGGCGGUCGUCGUCGUCGUGGUCAGCGGCGGCGGCUCCACCGAGCACGAGCGGCUGCUACUGUGGCGGAAGCAGGAGGGGUUGGAGGAGGUGUGGGAGAGAUUCAUGCUGACCGUGCUCGGUACCAUGGAGCCGCGCGGAAGGCUCAGGCGGCGCGUCUUGCAGACCGUGCCGAAGUUGUACCGGAUACCGCCGCCGCCGUAGCGGUAGUCGACCGGGGAGCGUCGCGCGGACCGGGCGCACGAACUGAGGACGUAGUAGUCCAUGGGGGUGGAGAUGCCGUCGCUGAGGUCCUAGAUGCGGACGGAGCGGCUCGAGCCGCAGCUCGAGUGGGUGCUCGGUCCUAAGGUGGUCCAGUCCACGUGGCGGCGGAGAGAAAAAGGGGAAGAUGAGGCUUAAAGAGAAACGGAGACGUACACGAUGACGAUAAAGGAACACCUUACAAAGAUGUCUCUAACGACCCUUUAGUUGACACACAAAGAUAACCUACGAUCAAGUAUCAAUACCCCUUUAACUAUUUCGUGAGAAACCAUGAGGACCAGGAACUAAUACAAAAUAAAUACGGAGUAUUAGCGUUAGUGCUGUUACUAACAAGAUCUAUUAACUUCAGACGGGUCCUAACAGUACAACGACAAGUCAGAAAGAACUAAGUAGGAUCCUAACAACAACUCUCCCUUUGAACAGAGAUCACAGUUUGAAACUUAUUAUGAGGCUCCCCUUGAUAACCACUCUCUGACUUUCCAAACUUAAUUUGAGAGUUCAUGAUGUUAAAAACAGACUUACUUAAGACAAUAUGUAAUAAAGUCUCGUAUCCAAUUUUCGAAUAGGAGAUGGUACGGGAGUUCUAUGCGGCUUGGUGUGCUGUGGUUAGGACAUCUUACGAAGAUUUCUUUUACAUGUUGGUGUCGAUGUGGUGGUCCCACUACCAAUGACCGAUUGACGACGUGAGAGGAUCACGACUUAGGCAAGUUUUAGACACAGUGACCUAAAUCACUAGGAACGACCAUGGAGAUGUCUAAAACUGCACUACCGUGAACUCUCCCCGCAAGACCAGGUGUAAACCUCAUGAUCCGCUGGUAACACCGUAUGACCUUAUACAGGGACAGUCUAUAGGAUUUCGAAGCCCGUAACGUCAGAACUACGUAACCUUUUCGUUAAAACGGCUUUAUUUGCAGUCACACUCGUCGUCGUCUUGUCACUGGACCUGUACCAACUUCAUAGGUAGAGAAAGACGAGGUAACUAAACGAAAAAAUUGUUAAGCCUCCUGGUUACAAUACAUCCCCGAAGGAAAUACGGGUUAUCUCCGGAGGAAAUAGACAUCAAACGUGGUUACUUUGGAUCUCGUACCGACGACAAAAAGUUUUUUUUUUUGAGAAAUAAGUUAGAAACUUGUACUUUGAUCGGACACCAAAAUGAACUUUAACACGUGUGUCUUUUCCGUACUAAGACUUGAAUACACCCGACAACGUAAAAUAAUAGAGGUCUAGCUGGAAGUACCCCUAUAUAGACCUAAAGAUUCUCGUGUAGGAGAACGAGGAAAUCACAGUGAAGUGGUGGAACUAGUACAGAUAGGAGAAAUGGGACCAUACCUAGCACGUUUCCGCCAACUCGUAAACAAGGCUCGUCGAUUACGACUGGGUCGCUCCUAGGAAGUUGUUUGUCACACGAUACUGGUAAGUUCUAGUGAAUGACGAAGUCAUCGUACCCCGAUAAGACAGGUCCAAAAGUUUCCGUUACAUGACGAAGGACUGUAGGAACGACACGUUUUUUGGAAACACGGUACCUCUUCUCCAGCGUUACAAUGCCUACAAAAAUACAAAUCGUGGUUCGUAAUAGGUUCCCUGCUCACGUUUGCUCGACGAGAAAAGAAGGAUUUUUCAUAAAGAAGGCCGUUUCCGUUCUGCCUUUCGUUAAUGUCAUCCGUCGACGGGGUCUUUACGAACGGUUUGAACUAAGUCAACUCCUUAUACGUUGUUUAUUUUCACUCUAGUCUCGAUGACGUAGACCAAGGACCCUUCCGAAAUUCUGCUGUGACGACACUGUAGCAUGGAAGAAGUAGACUUUAGUGGUACCUGUAACUGUAGUCCUUUACGUUUCUACUACUUAACUAGCGCUACGUAAGCAUCACUAAGAACUUAUUAUAACCUAUGAGUAAACCUCAUCUAUUAAAUGUCGUACAAGAGCUUAUGUGGAUUAAACGAAAACAAUAUAUGCCUGGUGUGACAGGGUGAAGUAAAACCCAGACAUCCAGAUACAUCUCAAUUUCGUUGUAUGACACUACGUGGUAAUGGGUUUCAUUAUAUCACUUAGUAAAAUCUAUGACAUAAACUGUACACAAGAUCGAACGCUAAAUAGAUCGUAGACAACUUCAUACUUCCGACGUGCAGUUCCUGUAGAUCUUCUAGAGGUUGACUUGUGUAUACUAUAUCAUCAACAAUCCCUCAUCAAUCUCCAAAUAAGAGACAACAUUAAGAGGAGAUAGAGGAGGACAUUUAGAAGAGGGGUCAAUGUUGACUUUGGGGUGACAUACGUCGAUACCCUAUUCGGGGUAGGAUAGUUAUAUUCGGGUACGCCCGACGCCGGGAGAAGCCUCCCACCCUGCGAAGUGUGUU
Molecule: ribosomal RNA, 3217 nt
Filed under: Triticum aestivum (bread wheat)
Lineage: Eukaryota; Viridiplantae; Streptophyta; Magnoliopsida; Poales; Poaceae
Description: partial small subunit ribosomal RNA
Source: RNAcentral